AGGAUGCCCAGCCAGCACCCCCUCCUUCUUUGAGCUGGUUUUCUCCUGGGAGAGCCCCACGAGGGGGGCUAGAAAAUGUCCCUAAAAGUACUGUGUUGGUACCACGGAGGCAUCUGGAAAAUCUCUGCUCAGCUGGAAGGCACCGACCCAGCAGGCUGUGGGAAGGGAAAGAUUCUAACCUGGCCUUGCUCUCUCACUCCACAGGGCAAUCAGGACGCCACGGCUCCGCCUGAGGCGAUGGCCCAGCCCUACCCCCCUGCCCAGUACCCCCCUCCGCCUCAGAACGGCAUCCCCACCGAGUACGCCCCGCCCCCGCCGCACCCCACGCAGGACUACUCCGGCCAGACCCCCGUUCCCCCAGAGCACGGCAUGACCCUGUACACACCAGCACAGACCCACCCUGAGCAGCCGGGCACCGAGGCCAGCACGCAGCCCAUCGCAGUGACCCAGACAGUGCCGCAGACAGAUGAAGCGGCACAGACGGACAGCCAGCCACUCCACCCCUCCGACCCCACAGAGAAGCAGCAGCCCAAGCGGCUGCACGUCUCCAACAUCCCUUUCCGGUUCAGGGACCCCGAUCUGCGGCAAAUGUUCGGGGUGAGUGUGCUCAAGCUGGUCCAUCCUUGCUCCUACCCCAUGACCCGGGUGCCAGAGCAGCUUCCUUCCGCCUGGGGACCCUGUGGGGCAGGACAGGAGGUCUGCUGUGGCAGCCCCAUUCCCUGGCCAGAAAUCCCCACCACCAGGGUCACUGUCCUCAGGGGCUCCCUAGGGUCCCCUGGGUUAUCAGUCUCUGGUUACUGCUUUCUGACUCCUGACCCUAGCAGAGAGCCCUGGGGGGAGAGCCCAGCCUUCUGCCCACACACAGGGGGACAGACCACUCACCCCUGCCCAAGCCUGAGUCCUCCUGGUCCCUAACGAGGUGACCUGAAAAUGCACAGUUGAUGUGAAGCAAGUGAGGACCCCCACCUGAAUCUCUUGUCUGUUUCUCAGUUUUGCGCCAGGGAUUCCGGCAGUUGCAGGGCUACCCUUGAGUCCUGUCACUGGACUUGAGCACCUGGAAGGUGCUGACACCCAUUGUGCUGGGGCUGCUGCGGAGGAACAGGCUGGGUGCGAUGCUACCUCGCAGGCCUGCCCUGGCCACAGAGGACCGUGGAGCCUGGCCUGUGUUUCAUGCCUGCCCCUGGACCUGCUCCCACCUCUCCCACACAGUGGGGCAGCUCUGACCCCAAGCCCCAGCCAGCCCCACAGGUUCAUUCCACACAGCUGGGACUUGUCAGGGAAAUAGGGUGCAGCAGCCCAAUAUGGACAAGCCCCAACACCCAUCUCUAGGGUGACCCCAGAAAUCUACUCCCCAUCCCGGGAUUUGGCCUCAUUGGGUUUGGAGCUCAGACUUGCCACACCGCUGACAUGAUUGAGUCAUCAGAGGGAAAGGCUGUGUCCCCUCUCGGCCCUAGGGCUCAGGUGCCACCAGAUUUCCCUGGGCCCAGCUCCCCUUACAGCG
RNAcentral lists this long non-coding RNA (1501 nucleotides) under Chinchilla lanigera (long-tailed chinchilla). RNAcentral's name for it is "lncRNA (ENSCLAG00000028851.1)". The record is from RNAcentral. Lineage: Eukaryota; Metazoa; Chordata; Mammalia; Rodentia; Chinchillidae.